UUAUCGAUUAUGAAUCGUCGUCUUCUGUGCUGGCUCCGGCAUGUGCACGUUGGUGACUUUCAUUCCACACCCUUGUGAACCUUUGGCCUCUUGCUGGCUUUGGCUGGCAGAGGAUUUUUACACCCACACUCGAAUGUAAUGAAAAAACCCUUUGGUGCGCAAGCACUUAUGUAACAACUUUCAACAACGGAUCUCUUGGCUCUCGCAUCGAUGAAGAACGCAGCGAAAUGCGAUAAGUAAUGUGAAUUGCAGAAUUCAGUGAACCAUCGAAUCUUUGAACGCACCUUGCACCCUUUGGAAUUCCGAAGGGUAUGCUCGUUUGAGUGUCAUUGUACUCUCACACUUCUGAUCUUUUGGAUCGGGAGUGGUGGACUUGGGUGUUGCUGCUUCCGUGUGGCUCACCUCAAAUGCAUUAGUGCACCUCUUGAUUGAAACCAUAGUUCGGCGUGAUAAGCAUCUUCGCCGGCACCUCUCACCAGGAUGGCCAAUCGAGGGCUCUGUGCUUCCAACUGUCUUUGGACAACUCUGACAACUUGACCUCAAAUCGAGUAGGACUACCCGCUGAACUUAA
This 571-nucleotide ribosomal RNA is filed under the name uncultured Sebacina. RNAcentral's name for it is "eukaryotic LSU rRNA". The stretch from base 176 to 329 matches the Rfam family "5.8S ribosomal RNA". The record is from RNAcentral. Lineage: Eukaryota; Fungi; Basidiomycota; Agaricomycetes; Sebacinales; Sebacinaceae.